UUCAAGAUUCAAGCCUGGAUCCCUUUAAUCUUUCCGAACUUUCUAACAGCCCCUGCUUCGAUCCCUCAAUCUUUCUCCGUAUCGUGCUUCCACGUUCUUAAUUAUACAUGGCUGAGUUUUGUGUGAUGCAUUGUGUUGAUGAACGAGUCGACACAGAACUUGCAGGGUGAAUCGAUGUGAGGUAAUGGAUACUCCAGUUGAAGAUUGUGAACCCCUGAUUGCUGCUUGAAGGUUGCAAGCUCAUGGAUCUUAGGUGGAAGAAUGGCGAAUUCAAAGUGGAAGCGUGGUGAUUGAAGAAAAUUGGAGAAAGUGAGGAAGAAAUGAAGAUGUUGAUUAGAAGUGAAUGAUCAGAAAAAUGCUCAGAGAAAGGCUAUGAACUUCUUAUAUAAGAGAAGUGUAACCGAAUCGGGCACUUAAAAGGGGGCAGGUUAGUUACUUUAGGGCAGGUGCCCAGAAUUUCUGUUAGAAUCUCUUUGUAUGAAAACGAAUCCAUUUUUUCUUAGUUGGUUAGUUAUUUCUUUCAUAGUUGGUUGAAGUUAUGGUUAAGUUAGUUGUAAACAGUUGGAAUGUUAGCUGUUAGAAAUUCUGUUAUAAUUCUAGUUCUGUUAGCUGUUAAUUGCUUAGGUUAGUUAGGAAUUCCAAUCUAAAUGAAAUUGGAGUUCAAAAAUGAAAUGAGUAAACAAAAAAGAACCUCUGUUACUGCUACGUAAAACCUCUAUAAUGGAAUUGAUUUUUUUUAAUAUUAAUUUUAAAGGAAAACUGAUUGGUCUUGAAUUUCAGUUUGUUUUUAAGAUGAAAUCUGCUAUUCAUUGUUAUGAAACGGCAUGGUUAUGUGUUUGUGUGGAUUUACAGGAUAUAGUGAUGUUGUCAGCAUUGCCUUUGAAGUAUCCAUGCCAGAUUUUACAAAUUACUCAUGCAUAGGUGGUUAGUUUAUUAUAGGAUUCAUGUCGAGUAUCCAUCUUCUUUAUGGAUUACUUGGCCAGGUUAGCAUAAACUACGGGGUGUGAAUGAUUCUUGAUUGGAUGACCGUUUGGUUUACGUGGCAAUUAAAUUAGCUUGAUCCUAUUCUGUUAACUUUCUGCAGGUUAUCAAUCGUCAAACCUCUUCUUGCUGUUGCUGUGUCCACCGUGUUGCCAUUAUCAUGCAUUUUUAUGUUGGCCAAAUGAUGAUUAGUGGGAUGCGAUAAUGCUUGCGUGGAUAUCAUACUCUAUGUCGCUCUAUUGUAUGUGAUGCAAUUGGUAAUGCUUAGAUUAUGCGGUUCAGUUGCCGACUAACACAAUGCUAUGACGUAAUGAAGGAUGCUUAUGAUAUGCGUGAUGUGAGAUGCUUAAGCUGCUGUAGAAUGGACACGUUACCGCAAGUGAAGUCAUUUGGCUCAUAAAGAAACAAAUGGAUUUAGUUAAUCAAGGUCAUGGAACACGGAUGGUUAGGAUUAGGAUAUCUAGGGAUGUAAAGUCCAUUUCUUGUGUUUUUCUCGUGGGAUCAUUAUUUGGAUGAACUUAAAUAGCUUUCAAUUCGAUUUUGUAUUGGAUUUUGAAUUUGAUUUUCUAUUGGAAUGAAACAAAUGACAAUGACUUGCAUUGGAUUGGAAUUUUGGGAAUUAAAUGUGUGGAAGCUGAAUGAUUUUAUGGUUUAAUGGGAGUUAAUGUGAUUUUAGAUUGUUAUUAUGAAUUUGAAUGGCUUCCAAAUUGAUUUUGAAUUGUCAGCUUGAAUUAAAAUGUAUUGAAUAGAAUUCAAUGAUUUGUUUGAAAACAGAAACAUACAUUGAAUUUUCACAUUGGUAUUGCUUUGAAUAUGGAAGGUUGUAUUGAAGAUUUGGAAUGGAAGUUAAUUAUGGAAAUGGAAUAGGAAUUUAUGGUUUGUAUGAAUUUGAACGGCCGGUGGGUUAGAAUGGUUAAUGACAGCAAUUAAGAUUGGAUAUGGUUAUAGGUUAUGGAUAUGAUGAUUAAGUGGAUAAAAUAGUUUCUAAAACUAAUCAAUUUAAAAAUCAAAAUUCAAUUAAAAUGCCAAAUCAAUUAAAAUCAAAUUGGAAAUCAAAUUACUUUACGAUUAGAAUUAAUUUGAUAUUAAAUCACUUUGAAAUAUCUAAAGUUCAUUAAUUUAAAAUUAGUAUCAAUUUGACAUUUAAAAUCAAUUUAGAGAAAUUGAAAUGAAUUAAUAUAAAGUUUGAAUCAUUCUGAAAUUGAAAUCGAUUUAAAAAUUGGUUAAAAAAUUAAAUUGAAGUUCCCUAAUAAAUUUGAAAUUAGGCUUAAUUUGAAAUUAAUCAAUUUGAAGUUAAAAGUCAAUUAAAGUCAAAUUGAAAAUAAAAAUUCAAUUAAACUUAACUUAAAAAAAACCCAAAAUCCAAUAAAAAUAAAUUAAUUUAAAAUUAAAAUAAAUUUUGAGGUUAAAAUCAAAGCACCAAGAUGGAUAUAACGAUGAAGUGAGUCGAACGAGCAUAAAUGAUGAUCGAUGUUGCCAAAUUUGAGAUAAUAUGGACUUGGGGGUGAAUGGUUGACUUUUGUCGACUAGUUAACCAGAAAGUCCACCAAUGACCUUAAUCAACCGUUUGUAUUAGAGUAGGGUUUCACUCAAUUACCAAUUUUGAAUCUAUGGGUUAACUAGUGCGAAUGUGUAUGAAUGAAGUACGAAUAUGCACAAAUGAAUUUCAUGUCGUAGGUCGAAUGAAAAGUGAAAAAGGAUGGCAAAUUUUGGGGUACGACAGCUGCCCCUAUUUAAUUAGCUUAGACCUGAAUAAUCGAAUUGCGAGAGCUUUUCGGAUAUUCAAGGUAUGGGCGGAUUAAAUAUCGAAGUAUCCAAAAAUUUGCCCAUUGAGGACGGUUGUAUGGGAUGCAGGGAUGUCAACUUGACUUUUACAGGUUCAUCCGCUGAUGACUUUUUUGAUGUACUAUGGAGAUAUGGUAGAAUGAGGGUAAUGAUAUGCAUGAUAUAUGUAUGUUUUAUCAUUUUUGUGAAACGUGAGGCCACUUAUGCUAAUCAGGGAGCCCAUAAGUUCUCAGAAUACCCUUGCAAUCAAAGGAUUUCAAAAAAUGAAUCAUCAGUUCAACAACUGGAAACAAAAUCAAACCUAGAGGUUUGAAAAAAAGGAAAGGUCAUCAACCGUACAGGUCAGAAAAAAGGUUCGUCAAUCCCAUAGAUUGAAAAAGGUUCAUCAACCACGAGGUUGGAAAAAGAUUCAUCAACCACGACAGUGGGAAACAAAGGUCAUCAACCCUAAAGGUCGGAAAAAAGGUCUAUUAUCACCCUAAUGGUGGAAAGAAGAUUCAACAACCAUGAAGGUUGGAAACAAAGAUCGUCAACCCUGAAGAUUGAAAAAGGUUAUCAAUCCUGAAGAUUGAAAAAAGGUUCUUCAACCCUGAAGGUUGGAAAAGAGGAUCAUCAACCCUAAAGGUUGGAAAAAGAUACCAAGCAAACUGGGCUUUAAAAGAUGCUAAGCAAGUUGGAUUUUGGAAGAAUCGUCAAACUAGCUGGUUAUAAAAGGUACCAGGCAAGUUUGGAACUAGAAGAUGUCAACAAAGUAUCGAGCUUUGGUUUCUAUGGCUUGCACACGCGGCCUCAUGAUAUGCUAGAUGAGUGAUAUGCAUGAGUGAAGCGAUGUGAUUGAUAUAUGAUGAUUUGUGCAAUGGUUAGGCCAGAUGUUCAUAUAGAGGGAGGUGGGAAUUUCGGGCUAGGAUAAGGUUAUCUAGACAUGAAUCUCCGACACCUACUUCGAGCUAAAAAUGUUGUCGCACCUAUGGAUUUGAUCUGAAACAUGGAAAGCUUGUACAUGUGUAGCCUGCUUCUGCCCCAAUGUACUGGAUGUAAGCACCAACGACCCUAGUUACAAACUGUAUUCCCUUGAUCAACCAUCUUGGGAAUGAUUGACUUCUCAUGUUCUUGAGGCGGCCUGCCCCAAUAUGAGCUUUGAAGUAAACUUUGCCCCUAUCCGGCUGAUUCAGAGAGAUUUGUAGAAUAUCGACAUGGUUGCCUUAGAUUGAUUGACUCUUGAAGAGAUCUGAGCUAUGGGAUAUCAGGAAUUUGAUCAACUUUCCCAUUGUAAGUUUCCUCGAUGCCAAAUGAUUAUUCGAAUGUAAAAUGCUCAUUUUGAAAAAUGAUAAUUGUAAUGUCAUGUUCAUGCAAGUUUUGAAAACUCAAGUGUGUUCACUAAGAUUAUGACAUCUAGUGAGUGAAUCACUGAUUAGAAUGUCAUAUCAGUAUCAAUACAGAUGACAAGCAAAUCUUUAGGAGUCAGCUUAACGUGAUCUUACCAUAGUAUGCUUUCGAAAUAGGCCAUGCUUCAAUUAGGUCUUUUGAGGGUUGUAACGUGGUCUGGUUCCCGGUUUCAAAAAGAAAGGAUAUAAGGCUCAAAACCUAACCUAACCCGCCCAUUCUCCGUGAUGUUCUCCAAUCCUAAGUUCAGUUAGCUUAGAACAAGCGUUCAUCUUCCAGAAAAGGAUUUUGAAUAUCAGCAAUACUGGUUAAGGGACCCUAUGAGAGUUUGGAGCGAUAACCACUCACAUUCUGUUUUGAUUUGCAGUCACAAAGAUCUGCUCUUGCUAAGGAUUUGGAUUGAUCCUCUGAUUCUCUUGUUACGUUUACCCUUAUUUUUGCCUGGGCUGGUCCUUUGGGUCUGCAGCCCACCGGGAUACCCUAACUUUUGCCUAAGUCAAUCUUGUUUUCAAGUUCUUUACUUAGCGAGCCUUUUAUUUGCUUUUGAUUUUUUCAUUUUGUUUCAUCUUUUCUUUUUAUACUUGAGCAAGUCCUGUGACACUGCUUUCUUGAUACGGUUUGUGACUAUCUCACUCAUUUUUGUUGGUAGGGGAUAACCAUAAUGGAUUUGUGAUUCCAUCCUCUUGAGAGGGAUAUGAUGUGAUUGAUCACUUGAUGAGAUAUUCUCCUUCUGAAAUUUGGAUGCAAGUCUAAACUGAACUGAAUACUACCCUGCCCCUGGUUUAACAUGAGGGUUUUAUGUGUUAAAGAAAUAAACUCCUACUUCAAGGCCCAAAGGGGUUGACUAGGGAUUAACUUUCUUAUAUCUCCAGUGUUUAGGGAUUGAACCAUGCCUUACAUCAUCAACACAAUCUUAUUCAAAAGCAUACAGAUAACGAUCUUGCGUAUUUUAAUUUGCAUCAUUCUCUUUUGAUUUUAUUCGACAAACAAUUUGAUACUGAUAAAUAAAAUAUGAGUGAACACAAAUGGAUUUAAGCAAAACACGCACGUUUAUUUCAUUAUUAUUAUCAUCUGAAAACCAGACAAGUUUUACAAACGAAUAACAAUCAACAAACAAAGGGGAAAUUACAAAUGAGGCAUGAUUGGAUCAAUAUAAUAUUCCUAGCCUUGAUACUCCUCUGAAGAAGCCACUAAGUCUGAGCAAUCCUCGCCACUAAUCGCAUUCACAGUCUAUCCACAAUGGUCUGGCAACGGGUUGGUUAUGACAUUGGGUCCUGUCUCCGAGAAUGACAAAACCUUCUGAUCAAUAAGCUUUUCUACUCUGGCCUUGAGGACUAAACAAUCCUCUGUAGAAUGUCCUACAUAUCCGGCACGGGACGCACAAGACACAUUGAUUCUGAUUCUGAUUUCUGAUCAUGCUGAGGACGCUUCUUAUCAAACCGUCUACGUUGACCUUGAUUCUGAUUUCUGAUGUUUUGCUGAUUCUGAGGAGUUGGAGCCUGUGGAGGUUGUUGAUACUGAGGUUGAUAUACAGGUUACUGAUAUUGAGCAGCGACAAUGUAUGGAUAAGGGUAGUAUGGCAUAUGAUCCAUAAGUGCCUUAACUUGAGGAUAUACAUUUGUUGUUACGGCAUUUGCCUCGGCCUCUUUCUUCUUAGCAAAACCGUGAGACUUCUUAGCCGCUGGCUGGCUGUCGAUACUAGCAAUCUUUCCUAUUUUUAGCCCAUUCUCGAUGCGUUCUCCAAUGGUUACCAUGUCGGCAAAGUUGGAUGAUGAGCUACCAACCAUCUUCUCAUAAUACAAACCAUGGAGUGUGCCCAUGAAAAUAUCAACCAAUUCGGCAUCUGUCAGUGCAGGUUUAACUCUGGAAGCCAUUUCACGCCAUCUCUGAGCGUAUUCUUUAAAUGUUUCAUUGCUCUUGCAGGCUUGAUUCCGCAGUUGUAGCCUGGUGGGAGCCAUGUCCAGAUUAUAUUUGUAUUGCUUGAGAAAGGCUUCAGACAAGUCCUUCCAAGAUCUGAUUUUACUGCGUUCCAGGCCCAUAUACCAGUCUAAGGAUGCCCCAGAUAAGCUGUCUUGGAAGCAAUGGAUAAUAAGAUCAUCAUUAUUAAUGUAAGAUGCCAUCUUCCUACAAUACAUGAUGACAUGGCUUCUUGGACAACUCAAACCCUUAUAUUUUGGUAGGUCUGGCGCUUUGAACUUAGGAGGAACCACCACAUUAGGAACUAGGCAUAAGUCCUUAGCAUCCAUACUAUAAGCAGAGAAACCUUCAAUGGCUCUGAUCCUUUCAUCCAGUAACUGAUAGUCUGAACCAACAACAUUCUGAUUGGUAGGUUGAGGAUUAACUUGAUGAUUGGGAAGUUGAACAUGCUGAGAAGUCGUCUGAGAAAUAACUGGAGUAGAAGCGAUCUGAGGAUACCCUUGAGGAUACACCAAACCAGGAUUCACCAUUUGACCAACAGUCUGACCAUACUGAUUCUGAUAUGGAGCGUAGGGUGCCCCAGGAUACACAAAUGGAUGUGCAACAACAGAGGAUGCCCCAAGAUGAGGAGGAGGUAUCUGAACACCUUGAUUCAAAUUGUGAACAGUCGGUUGAGUAGCUCGAGGAGGAAAACGGAAGUGGAGGGUUGGGCCUUUAUAUUCAUCUUCGUUGUUAUUAGGAGUCUCAACGAUCACUGGUGUAGAAGUCUAAAGAGCUUGUUCUGGGUUGGUCUCAUGGUUGUUAACAUUAGCCAUUUGAGGAGAAAGAGUGGUCAUGCCCCAAGGAUUGGCAACAGGAUUCCCAUUGGUAGGAUGAACAGUGAACGGUUGGUAUGACACAAAUGCAUUCCCAUUAGCAGCUUGGGGAGUGAAAUUCGGAGGCAACCCCCAGGGAUAGGUAAUGGCAUGCACACUAGGACCUGGCUGAUAGAUAGGUUGCCUCAUAAGUUGAACCACAGUGUCCACAAUAGCAUCGCCAGAAGUGGUGACGGCAAUAGCAUCAGUAACUACAGCAGAAGCAGGAUUGGCAGCAGAAGUGGAGGUAGUGGCCUUCUGAGCUUGAAGGUACUCCAAUAUGGUGUUCAUGUUACCUUGCAAGGUGUCCAUUCUGUCUUGGACUUGAGCCAAUGUUUCCCUAUAGGUAGCAUUAUCUUGUUCUAGAUCCUCCAUAAUUCUUGAUUUGUUAGCCCUUGUGAAGUAGUGGUGUCGAAGAGACGUCGUCUUUCAAGCUGGAGAAAGGACAAGGUGAGCUUUUUCUAGUUGGUAUGCAUGAGAUGCAAAUGAAUAAAUGCACAUGUUAGGGAUGCAAUGCAAAUAAUUAUGCAACACCCAUAAAUUCAAAGCAUCGAUGGUAUAAUAAUUCAGGGUCAAAGCUCUGGCGUAUAUACAACAAUGCUAUAAUGAUAUGCAAAAGAGUAUGUUAACAACAUAAAAUAAUCUGGAUAAUUUGUGUAUACUGCCCAAUGCAGGAUCAAAGGUCCGACGUCCAUGAGAAUAAGGUAUGUAGAGGCUAUGGUUUCCUGCAGAAAAAUCCCAUAUCCCCCUCACAGGUAGGUUAUAGUCUUCAAGGCAACCUAGAAGGUUCCUAGAGUCAACAACCCAUUUCGAGAUACCAUUGCCUUGGACGAAUGACUCGUCGGACAAUGAUGCUCCCAAAAGGAUCUACUCUAGGUGUGACGUCUCGUGUCAACCAUAAUCGCGGAAUAACUCCACAGAGGUCAAAGACGACUCUAGUCACGUUGCUAUCCUGCGUAUGUAGUAAAGCUCGGGUAUAGAUCUUCUCUCUCAUGUAUCAAUAACCCAACCCAACAAGGAGUAUAACAAAUGAUAUCCAUAAUAUAAAGCGAAUGAAUAUAAUGAAAAAGCGAGUAAGGCAUAAAAAUGAGCACCUAGAAACUAGCGAGAAAACAACCUAAACUAGGCUCGACUCCUUUUAGCGACUAGGAAGUACUCCAAGUAGCGAAGUGUCCCCAGCAGAGUCGCCAGCUGAAGCUAGCAGAAAUAUACCCGAACGUAUCGCACGCUCGAACAUACAACAGAGUCGCCAUCGAACUUUAUUUAUCCCCAAAGGAAAGGGAAAACAUCGAUAAAACCCAGGGAAAGAGAUAUACUGGGUAAGGAAGUCGGUUAUGCAAGGGGAAGGUAUUAGCACCCCAAACAUCCAUGGUACUCCAUGGGAACUGUUUUGAUUGUUCUCGCUUGAAUAGGUGUGAUAUCUAAAGAUUACUCGCAAAAGACUAAGGGGAAAGGAAGAGAAAUAGAUAGAGUGCUCGAUAAGGAUUGAGGCCCUCAUGCCUACAUAUCCUCAUAGUGCAAUAAGGAAUUCAGAGCUUCGUAGUUCAAGGAACUAGAGGCAGGAGGUGGAAGGAAUGUGAUAAGAGUAUGAUUUGAACCAAAGAAUAAUGUUGUUUGAACUCCAACAAGGGGUGAAAAUGUGAACCCAAGAGUAAAACUGGUGUGAACCAACAAGUGAGGGCGUAUAGCACUUGCAUCACUGUAUUGGAAUAAGCCAAAAGAAAGGGUUGCCUAAGUACGACUGCAAAGUAAGUAAGGAGAUGUUUGUCUAAGCUACAGGGUCUGGAAAGACAAACAAAUCGGCUCUUGGUUCACAAAAAGGGGUACAAGAUGGAGCACAAAGGUAUAGUGUAUUGACUCAAAGAAUAAGUAUAUCACAUGGAGUGAAUGAAGAUAGAGUAUGAAUGUAUCAUGAGCACAAAGGUAUAGUGUAUUGACUCAAAGAAUAAGUAUAUCACAUGGAGUGAAUGAAGAUAGAGUAUGAAUGUAUCAUGGGGAUGAAUGGAAGAAUGCCCUAGGGCAGGAGUGAUAAAUAAGUAUGCCCGCGGAGGGUUCGAACCCUCGUGCCUACGUAUUUCCAUCGUGCAAUGAGAAAAUCAGAGCAACCGUAGUUCAGCCUACUACGGCUGAAAAGAAAGAGAUUCGAUAGGAUUGCCCAGAGGCGAGGUAGAUUGCUUAACAAGCAAGGACAUGGUACUAACCGAUGAUGGUAAUCAACCACAAGGACAAAUGAGAUAUUUCCAGAGUUUGAACUCCAUAGGGUAAGAUAGAUGAGUUCCAUAGUCUGAACUAAGUACAAGCCCAGGAAUGGAUUCCCAGAGUCUGAACUCAGAGGGGGCAACGGAGAUAUAAUGUCAAGGUUUGAACUUGGAGUCAAUGUCAAAGGUUGCGUCUCAGGCUUGAAGUACCCGUUCUACCUAUUCGUACGGUAUCAGACUUCUAUAAGGCAAAGGAACUGAUUUGAAUGCCAGAGUCUGAACUCCACCAGGGCAAGAAAGUAUGAUUCCAAAGUGCGAAAUGUAUGUGCAAUGCAAGAGGUAACCAGAGUCUGAACUCCAUGGGCUGGAUAAAUGAAUGCCAAAGUCUGAGCUGUAAGGCAGGAUAGUAUGUCAAAGUCUGAAAUGUAUAGCCAAAAUCAAGAUAGCCAGAGUCUGAACUCAAUAGGGCGAGGAUGCCAAGAUCUGUAUCUUAUGGGCAAAGAAUAAAGCCAUUGUCUGAACUCCAUGGGCUAAAGGGGUUUGCCAAGGUCUGUACCUUGAGGGCAAGAAGCAAAGCCAAAAUCUGAACUCCACGGGCUAAAGGAAAUUGCCAAGGUCUGCACCUUGAGGGAAAAGGAUAAAACCAGAGUCUGAACUCCAUGGGAUAAAGGAAGUUGCCAAGGUCUGCACCUUGAGGGCAAAGGAUAAAGCCAGAGUCUGAACUCCAUGGGCUAAAGGAAGUUGCCAAGGUCUGCACCUUGAGGGCAAGCAACAAAGUAAGCCAUAGUCUGAACUGAUAGGCAACGUAUGAAGCUAUUGAUUGAGAAAUGGGUAUGUGACCCUCGCAUGAACUGAAUGAGGAUUGAAUAAUUGAUCGCUAUAUAGAAUAGAUUGAUAAAUGAGAUAUGGAUAUAUAAGGUAGAUUGAUAAAUAAGGUAGCUCGCGAAGAAUCUGAAUUCUCCUGCCUACGUAUCCUUAUAAUGCAAUAAGGAAAUCAGAGCUUUCGUAGUUCAGCCCACUAGGGCUGAAGAGAAAUUGAUUGGAGGCAAGAAGAAAUGGAUGCUUGAGAUUGAAUUGAUUAGAAUGGAAUAGAGAGUGAAGUGAUAAGAGACUUGACAUUCGAUUGAUAGGAAUCACACUAAAGUCUAUGAAUAAGGGUGAACGCUUUGAAUAUUUGAGGCAUACGCCCCAUACGCAAAGUCGCUAUAGACGAGGGUAGGAGAGACUCCCUCUCAUCAUUCCUCAUUACUUAAGACUUGAAGUGCAUGAUAUUUCUCUUGACUGACAAGUUGCUGGUGAAGAACCUUUGUUGUUGAUCCUUGUGUUGAUGUUGAACUUGUAUGAAUAAGACUUGGUAGUUUAAUCGAUUCGUAUUGUACUAAAGUCUAUGAACAAGGGUGAACGCUUUGAAUAUUUGGGGCAUACGCCUCAUACCCAAAGUCGCUCUAGACAAGGGUAGGAGAUACUCCCUCUCAUCAUUCCUUAUUACUUAAGGCUCGUUUCGUACAAUUUGAAUCAUAUUUACCAAGUGUUGACCUUUGAUUUAUCUUGUAUAAUCCGCUGCUUGGUGUGACUGAGGAUGCCUUGAUUGAAGAUCUUGACUUGAGGCUUCGAGCUCCACAGCUUAUAAGAAAAGUCUUGUUAAGUGACCAAGGGUCUUUUGGUCACUCAAUUUAGACUGUGGAAUUAUAAAAGUUCAAAGGAUUUAAUUAAUCAAAAUUUCUUUUGAUCAAUUUAAACGGGGGUUUUGUUUUAGUUUUGUGGGGAACUAUGUUAGGAUCUAAUUGAAGUUAGUAAUUGUUAGAAACUAUUCUAAGGAAUCAUGUCAAAAUAUUGAUUAAAAGGCCUAUGUUAAGUCCUACAAUUAUUAGGAAAUGAUUGAAUUAUAAUCCUAAGGGGAACAUGUACAAAGAAUCAAGAUUUUAGGCUCUAAGGGCAAAAUGGUCAUAUUCUAAAAUUUGACUAAUUAUGGAAAACAAAUCCUAAUCAAAACCAAAUUACCCAAGCAUAUCAGAACUAAUUAACAUUAGUCUAAUUAGAAUUCUAAAAACUUAAUCAGGUUCCACGAGCAUAAUUAACCACUAAAAUUAGUCAAUUCUAGCAAUAUGAUUACAAAAAUUAUAAUUCUAAAAUCUUAAUCAACUUCUAAUUAUCCCAAUUAAAUUGUAAUUCUAAAAAUCUAUCAUUCUAAUUAAACUAAUUACCCCUAAAUCCUAAUUAAUCUAAUUAAUUACAUAAAACUUCUAAUUUCUUAAUAAGACUAAUUGUUAAUUUGAUCUUUAUUAAAGGAUAACAAAAAAACAAGCUAACAGCCCAGACAAACCAGAAAAUGGGAUUGGGCCCAAAAACAAUCAGACACUGAAGGCCCAUGGAUGUUAGGACUGGUCUUGGGGGUGUACACAUUCGCAUGGAGUGGGGAGAGUAAGCUCGUUUGGACCUUAGGCCCAAACCGAGUCCAAGGCCAAUCCAUCAUUAAGAAAAACAAGCAGAGGUUACUGUACAGAAAAGCGCUUAAAUGGAUAAGCUGGAAAACAAGGGUGGACGAAAACGCUUAUGGAGACACAGAGUUCGGUCAUAAUCUUCAUCCAAUUUUCGCUUGUUCUGGCGUUCAUGGAUACGCUUCCAGCUCCUGUCUGUUUUGGUUGGUCGGCGUCAUCGCAUCAGCAUCGGAGUGACAUCACGGACAUCAUCGCGUUUUGGAUCAUUCAACACUGAGUUUUUGAUUGGUUUGAAUCACGUCUGGUUCGCGUUACAGCGUUGCUUGCACAUCUCCGAUCUCGCGCUUCAAUUGUAACCAGCGAGUUGCGAUUACCACCGGUGCGGCGUCGCGGAUGUCGUUGCGUUAUUGCGCUUCAGCAUCGAUCUUUGAUUCAGAUGCGUACAAACAAGAACAAAAAUUGAAUCGAAAGUAGCAUCGCGAGUGUGAUCGGAAUUUCAAUUUGAUUCAAAGUUAAAGAUCUUGAUUCAGAGUUUUCGAUUCUAAACAGCACGCAACUAUAGGAAGAAAAGGUUUAAAGACUUACCGGUGAAAGGGGGAAAUUCCUUCGGUCAAUAACAGAUUGUCGUCGCUGGCGAAAACGAGAGAAAUCCAGAACGGUGUCGAUUUCCAGGUAUCACCUUCCUUCUUCUGCCAUGGUUGGUCUUCGGAACGUCUUUUCUUCUUGCUCAAUUUCCUGGCUAGCGUGAGGAAUUCCUUUUGAUUUCCUGUAUUGACGGUAGACGAUCAUUCUGCAGUAAGUCUAAGCCGGUGGGCCCGGACUGCGUGAGUGUGCCUGAACGUCGGUGAAGAACGAUGAACUCCGGCUCUGCGGUGCUAUGGAUGACUUUUGUCGCAUGGGCUCCCCUGGGUAUGCCCCCUGCUUCCGAUCCCUCAAUCUCUUCUCCGUAUCGUGCUUUUUUGCCGUUUCAUUUUUCGUUUUCCUGUAACUGUUUUCCCGUUGUCUCCUUGCUAUUACUCUAUUAUACAUGGCUGAAUUUGUGUAAUGCCAUUGUGUUGAUGAACGAGUCGAGACACAGAACUUGCAGGGUGAAUCGAUGUGAGGUAACGGAUACUCCAGUGAAGAUUGUGAACCCCUGAUUGCUGCUUGAAGGGUGCAAGCUCAUGGAUUCUUAGGGAAGAAUGGCGAAUUCAAAUGGAAGCGUGGUGAUGAAGAAAAUUGGAGAAAGUGAGGAAGAGAAUGAAGAUGUUGAUUAGAAGUGAAUGAUCAGAAAAUGCUCAGAGGAAAGGCUAUGAACUUCUUAUAUAAGAGAAGUGUAAACCGAAUCGGGCACUUAAAAGGGGCAGGUUUAGUCUACUUCUAGGGCAGGUGCCCAGAAUUUCUGUUAGAAUCUCUUUGUAUGAAAACGAAUCCAUUUUUCUUAGUUGUUGUAGUAUUUCCUUUCAUAGUUGGUUGAAGUUAUGGUUUAAGUUAGUUGUAAACAGUGGAAUGUUAGCUGUUAGAAAUUCUGUUAUAUAGUUCUGUCUGAGCUGUUAAUUGCUUAGGUUAGUUCAGGAAUUCCAAUCUAAAUUGAAAUUGGAGUUUCAAAAAUGAAAUGAGUAAACAAAAAUAAACCUCAUGUUAUGUCAUUAAUCCUGUUACUGCUACGUUAAAACCUCUAUAAUGGAAUGUAUUUUUUUAAUAUUAAUUUUAAAGGAAAACUGAUUGUCUUGAAUUUCAGUUUGUUUUUAAGAUGAAAUAUGCUACUUCAUUGUUAUGAAAACGGCAUGGUUAUGUGUUUGUGUGGAUGUACAGGAUAUAGUGAUGUUGUCAGCAUUGCCUUUGGAAGUAUUUCUCCAUGCGAGUUUUANNNNNNNNNNNNNNNNNNNNNNNNNCCUUAAUAUUAUACAUGGCUGAAUUUUGUGUAAUGCCAUUGUGUUGAAUGAACGAGUCGACACAGAACUUGCAGGGUGAAUCGAUGUGAGGUAACGGAUACUCCAGUGAAGAUUGUGAACCCCUGAUUGCUCCGCUUGAAGGUUGCAAGCUCAUGGAUUCUUAGGGGAAGAAUGGCGAAUUCAAAGUGGUAAGCGUGGUGAUGAAGAAAAUUGGAGACAAAGUGAGGAAGAAUGAAGUAUGUUGAUUAGAAGUGAAUGAUCAGAAAAUGCUCAGAGAGAAAGGCUAUGAACUUCUUUUAAAGAGAAGUGUAAACCGAACGGGCACUUAAAAGGGGCAGGUUAGUUACUUUAGGGCAGGUGCCCAGAAUUUCUGUUAGAAUCUCUUUGUAUGAAAACGAAUCCAUUUUUCUUAGUUGUUUUAGUUAUUUCUUUCAUAGUUGGUUGAAGUUAUGGUUAAGUUAGUUGUAAACUCGUGGAAUGUUAGCUUGUUAGAAAUUCUGUUAUAAUUUCUGAGUUCUGUAGUGUUAAUUGCUUAGGUUAGUUCAGGAAUUCCAAUCUGAAAUUGAAAUUGGAGUUUCAAAAAUGAAAUGAGUAAAACAAAAAUAACCUCUAUGUUAUGUCAUUAAUCCUGUUACUGCUACGUAAAACCUCUAUAAUGGAAUGAUAUUUUUUAAUAUUAAUUUUAAAGGAAAACUGAUUGUCUUGAAUUUCAGUUUGUUUUUAGAUGAAAUAUGCUAUUUCAUUUGUUAUGAAAACGGCAUCGUUAUGUGUUUGUGUGGAUGUACAGGAUAUAGUGAUGUUGUCAGCAUUGCCUUUGGAAGUAUUCUCAUUGCCAGAUUUGGUACACAUUUACUCAGUUGCUCAUAAGCGGUGGUUAGUUUAUUUAGGGAUUCAUGUCGCAGUAUCAUCUUUUCUUACUGGAUCACCUUGGCCAGGUUAGCCAUAAACUACGGGUCGGUGUGAAUGAUCUCUUGAUUGCGUGCCAUGAUCGUUUGUGUACGUGUGCGAUUAUAAUUAGCUUUGAUCCUCAUCUGGUUUAUACUUUCUGCAGGUUAUCAAUCGCCGAACCUCUUCUUGCCUCUGUUGCUGUGUCG
Molecule: long non-coding RNA, 14524 nt
Filed under: Lathyrus oleraceus (garden pea)
Lineage: Eukaryota; Viridiplantae; Streptophyta; Magnoliopsida; Fabales; Fabaceae
Description: Pisum sativum (pea) long non-coding RNA (PSAT_LNC037904)
Source: RNAcentral